This 1559-nucleotide ribosomal RNA is filed under the name Pseudomonas sp. CPE30. Its description in RNAcentral is "SSU rRNA". It matches the Rfam family "Bacterial small subunit ribosomal RNA". The record is from RNAcentral. Lineage: Bacteria; Pseudomonadati; Pseudomonadota; Gammaproteobacteria; Pseudomonadales; Pseudomonadaceae.
GCUGGAAUUCGGCUUAGAGUUUGAUCCUGGCUCAGAUUGAACGCUGGCGGCAGGCCUAACACAUGCAAGUCGAGCGGAUGAGAAGAGCUUGCUCUUCGAUUCAGCGGCGGACGGGUGAGUAAUACCUAGGAAUCUGCCUGGUAGUGGGGGACAACGUUUCGAAAGGAACGCUAAUACCGCAUACGUCCUACGGGAGAAAGCAGGGGACCUUCGGGCCUUGCGCUAUCAGAUGAGCCUAGGUCGGAUUAGCUAGUUGGUGAGGUAAUGGCUCACCAAGGCGACGAUCCGUAACUGGUCUGAGAGGAUGAUCAGUCACACUGGAACUGAGACACGGUCCAGACUCCUACGGGAGGCAGCAGUGGGGAAUAUUGGACAAUGGGCGAAAGCCUGAUCCAGCCAUGCCGCGUGUGUGAAGAAGGUCUUCGGAUUGUAAAGCACUUUAAGUUGGGAGGAAGGGUACUUACCUAAUACGUGAGUAUUUUGACGUUACCGACAGAAUAAGCACCGGCUAACUCUGUGCCAGCAGCCGCGGUAAUACAGAGGGUGCAAGCGUUAAUCGGAAUUACUGGGCGUAAAGCGCGCGUAGGUGGUUUGUUAAGUUGGAUGUGAAAUCCCCGGGCUCAACCUGGGAACUGCAUCCAAAACUGGCAAGCUAGAGUAGGGCAGAGGGUGGUGGAAUUUCCUGUGUAGCGGUGAAAUGCGUANAUAUAGGAAGGAACACCANUGGCGAANGGCGACCACCUGGGNNUCAUACUGACACUGAGGUGCNAAANGCGNGGGNAGCAAACNGGAUUAGAUACCCUGGNUAGUCCACGCCNUNAACGAUGNUCAACNUANCCNGUUNGGANUCCUUGANAUUUUANUGGCNNCANCUAANCGCAUUAAGUUGACCGCCUGGGGAGUACGGCCGCAAGGUUAAAACUCAAAUGAAUUGACGGGGGCCCGCACAAGCGGUGGAGCAUGUGGUUUAAUUCGAAGCAACGCGAAGAACCUUACCAGGCCUUGACAUGCAGAGAACUUUCCAGAGAUGGAUUGGUGCCUUCGGGAACUCUGACACAGGUGCUGCAUGGCUGUUGUCAGCUCGUGUCGUGAGAUGUUGGGUUAAGUCCCGUAACGAGCGCAACCCUUGUCCUUAGUUACCAGCACGUUAUGGUGGGCACUCUAAGGAGACUGCCGGUGACAAACCGGAGGAAGGUGGGGAUGACGUCAAGUCAUCAUGGCCCUUACGGCCUGGGCUACACACGUGCUACAAUGGUCGGUACAGAGGGUUGCCAAGCCGCGAGGUGGAGCUAAUCUCACAAAACCGAUCGUAGUCCGGAUCGCAGUCUGCAACUCGACUGCGUGAAGUCGGAAUCGCUAGUAAUCGCGAAUCAGAAUGUCGCGGUGAAUACGUUCCCGGGCCUUGUACACACCGCCCGUCACACCAUGGGAGUGGGUUGCACCAGAAGUAGCUAGUCUAACCUUCGGGAGGACGGUUACCACGGUGUGAUUCAUGACUGGGGUGAAGUCGUAACAAGGUAGCCGUAGGGGAACCUGCGGCUGGAUCACCUCCUUAAGCC